This 253-nucleotide ribosomal RNA is filed under the name uncultured bacterium. RNAcentral's name for it is "partial 16S ribosomal RNA". It matches the Rfam family "Bacterial small subunit ribosomal RNA", at positions 524 to 776 of the family's 1533-position model. The record is from RNAcentral.
UACAGAGGAGCCAAGCGUUGUCCGGAUUGACUGGGCGUAAAGCGCACGCAGGCGGCACCGCGCGUGGGGUGUGAAAUCUGGCCGCUUAACGGCCAGGCGCCAUCCCAUACGGCGGAGCUGGAGUGAUGCAGAGGUCGAUGGAAUUGCCGGUGUAGUGGUGAAAUGCGCAGAUAUCAGGAAGAACACCCGUGGCGAAAGCGGCUCUCUGGAACGGUACUGACGCUGAGACGCGAAAGCGUGGGGAGCGAACAGG